Molecule: ribosomal RNA, 269 nt
Filed under: uncultured Planctomycetales bacterium
Lineage: Bacteria; Pseudomonadati; Planctomycetota; Planctomycetia; Planctomycetales
Description: partial 16S ribosomal RNA
Rfam family: Bacterial small subunit ribosomal RNA
Source: RNAcentral
GAGCACGUAGGUGGGUUUGUAAGUCAGAUGUGAAAGCCUUCUGUUCAACGGAAGAAUUGCAUCUGAAACUGCGAGUCUUGAGUGUAGGAGGGGAGAAUGGAACUUCUGGUGGAGCGGUGAAAUGCGUAGAUAUCAGAAGGAACUCCGGCGGCGAAAGCGAUUCUCUGGCCUAUUACUGACACUCAGUGUGCGAAAGCUAGGGGAGCAAACGGGAUUAGAUACCCCGGUAGUCCUGGCCGUAAACGAUGGGCACUAAGUAGAGGGGUUUU